Molecule: long non-coding RNA, 405 nt
Filed under: Malurus cyaneus samueli
Lineage: Eukaryota; Metazoa; Chordata; Aves; Passeriformes; Maluridae
Description: lncRNA (ENSMCSG00000010622.1)
Source: RNAcentral
CAGAACUGGCCCCUUCCUCUCCCUGCGUCCGGCAGCUCCGGCUCCGACCUUUCCGGGGUCACCGUGGUGACAUCAGGGGCCAAGGUCCAGGCGGGGCAGCACCCGCGGCUGGGGACAGCCGGGACAGCCCGAGUGACACCAUGAGGCUGUGGCUGCUCUGCGCUGUCACCGCCGCCGUGGCCGUGGCCGGAGCUGGCGCUGGGGCCGGAGCUGGAGCCGGAGCUGAGCACGGCGACUCCAGGAUGGUGGCACGCGGGAGAGAGGAGUCGCAGUCGAUGCCCUGGAAUUCCCGUGAAGAGGAUGCGGCUCAGCCGGGCAGGCGGGCGCGGAGCAGGAAGGGUCCUGGAGGUACUAGGAAAGCGUGCCCGGAUGGGGAUGGAGGUGGGAUGUACAUGGGAUGGGGAU